Sphaeroforma arctica JP610 is the source of this 634-nucleotide non-coding RNA. The record is from Rfam. Lineage: Eukaryota; Ichthyosporea; Ichthyophonida.
CCUUAUAUCGCGGCGUAGUUGUUGCUAUCAGGGAUGCGACUUCGUUUGCAUUAACGACUUCUUUGACAAUUGGUAGUGAUUCAACUUGAUUUGCCCUGCCCUACUUACUUUUAGUCGCAUUUGCCUUUUAUUAUAUUGUGCCCCAGUGACCUUGCGCCACUGCUUCUGCACCCUCCGUAUCGGGCGACAACGAACCUCGGUUUUUCUGUGUAUGUCUGUACGCGUAGAUGAUAGUCCCUAAAGUCAACACUGCAACAACACCUCAGUCCAACUGGGUAUCUACUGACCACGAUGUCUUCGGUAUACUGUACUGUACUGCUGCAGUCGCCCCGUCAGACUCUGGACAGAGCGCGGAGAUCAGGCUGAAUAGGUAGGUAGAUUCACGAUCACCCCAUAAUUACCAUGACUUGGAUUUAUGAAAGAUUAACAUCUGCGAAAGCAUUUGUUAAGGAUGUUUUCGUUAAUCAAGAACGAAAGUUAGGGGAUCGAAGACGAUCAGAUACCGUAGUAGUCUUAACCAUAAACUAUGCCGACUAGGGAUUGGUGGCAGUUAAUUAUAUGACUCCAUCAGCACCUUAUGAGAAAUCAAAGUUUUUGGGUUCCGGGGGGUAUAGUAUGUGGCACACGAAUAGUC